RNAcentral lists this ribosomal RNA (468 nucleotides) under uncultured bacterium. Its description in RNAcentral is "partial 16S ribosomal RNA". It matches the Rfam family "Bacterial small subunit ribosomal RNA", at positions 28 to 507 of the family's 1533-position model. The record is from RNAcentral.
GACGAACGCUGGCGGCGUGCUUAACACAUGCAAGUCGAACGGAAAGGCCCUGCGUUUGUGGGGUGCUCGAGUGGCGAACGGGUGAGUAACACGUGAGUAACCUGCCCUUGACUUUGGGAUAACUUCAGGAAACUGGGGCUAAUACCGGAUAGGAGCUCCUGUUGCAUGGUGGGGGUUGGAAAGUUUCGGCGGUUGGGGAUGGACUCGCGGCUUAUCAGCUUGUUGGUGGGGUAGUGGCUUACCAAGGCUUUGACGGGUAGCCGGCCUGAGAGGGUGACCGGGCACAUUGGGACUGAGAGACGGCGCAGACGCCUACGGGAGGCAGCAGUGGGGAGUAUGGCACAAUGGGCGGACGCGUGAUGCAGCGGCGCCGCGUGCGGGAUGCCGGCCUUCGGGUUGUAAACCGCUUUCGCCUGUGACGAAGCGUGAGUGACGGUAAUGGGUAAGGAAGCACCGGCUAACUACGUG